UCGCUCAGGUCUCCCAGCAUCGACGAAUAUGCGUUUCGCCUUUUACUAAACGCAUCCGUGCUGGGGGACACUUACAAUGAGCCUAAAUGGCAAUUUUUGUGGCCCCUUAUAGGGGCU
This 117-nucleotide small nuclear RNA is filed under the name Tropilaelaps mercedesae. Its description in RNAcentral is "U5 spliceosomal RNA". It matches the Rfam family "U5 spliceosomal RNA". Rfam says of the family: U5 RNA is a component of both types of known spliceosome. The record is from Rfam by way of RNAcentral. Lineage: Eukaryota; Metazoa; Arthropoda; Arachnida; Mesostigmata; Laelapidae.